GUCUAUGGAAUGGUAGGAGAACCAGGUAUAUGGAGUGGUAGGUGAUCCAGGUCUAUGGGAUGGUAGGUGAUCCAGGUCUAUGGGAUGGUAGGGGGUCCAGGUCUAUGGAGUGGUAGAGAAUUAAUAUAGAACAUUAUCACAGUUGAAAAUGUUCCAAAAUCCUGAUUUUGGAAGACAUCCCAUAAUUCCAUGGCAGCUCUCUGGACAUAUCAUUUAGUUACAGAGCAGUAGAGUAUCACACCAAGGUCCUGGACUUAUCAUUUAGUUACAGAGCAGUAGAGUAUCACACCAAGAUCCCUGGACAUAUCAUUUAGUUACAGAGCAGUAGAGUAUCACACCAAGGUCCCUGGACAUAUCAUUUAGUUACAGAGCAGUAGAGUUUC
Long non-coding RNA from Oncorhynchus tshawytscha (Chinook salmon), 383 nucleotides. NCBI's taxonomy places the organism in Eukaryota, Metazoa, Chordata, Actinopteri, Salmoniformes, Salmonidae. The record is from Ensembl.